GAUGAACGCUGGCGGCGUGCCUAAUACAUGCAAGUAGAACGCUGAAGGAAGGAGCUUGCUCUUUCCGGAUGAGUUGCGGACGGGUGAGUAACGCGUAGGUAACCUGCCUGGUAGCGGGGGAUAACUAUUGGAAACGAUAGCUAAUACCGCAUAACAGUAGAUGUUGCAUGAUAUCUACUUAAAAGGUGCAAUUGCACCACUACCAGAUGGACCUGCGUUGUAUUAGCUAGUUGGUGAGGUAACGGCUCACCAAGGCGACGAUACAUAGCCGACCUGAGAGGGUGAUCGGCCACACUGGGACUGAGACACGGCCCAGACUCCUACGGGAGGCAGCAGUAGGGAAUCUUCGGCAAUGGACGGAAGUCUGACCGAGCAACGCCGCGUGAGUGAAGAAGGUUUUCGGAUCGUAAAGCUCUGUUGUAAGAGAAGAACGAGUGUGAGAGUGGAAAGUUCACACUGUGACGGUAUCUUACCAGAAAGGGACGGCUAACUACGUG
Molecule: ribosomal RNA, 497 nt
Filed under: uncultured bacterium
Lineage: Bacteria
Description: partial 16S ribosomal RNA
Rfam family: Bacterial small subunit ribosomal RNA
Source: RNAcentral